UGGGGAAUCUUGGACAAUGGGCGCAAGCCUGAUCCAGCCAUGCCGCGUGAGUGAAGAAGGCCUUCGGGUUGUAAAGCUCUUUUACCAGGGACGAUAAUGACGGUACCUGGAGAAUAAGCCCCGGCAAACUUCGUGCCAGCAGCCGCGGUAAUACGAAGGGGGCUAGCGUUGUUCGGAAUCACUGGGCGUAAAGCGCACGUAGGCGGAUAGUUAAGUCAGGGGUGAAAUCCUGGGGCUCAACCCCAGAACUGCCUUUGAUACUGGCUGUCUCGAGGUCGAGAGAGGUUGGUGGAAUUCCUAGUGUAGAGGUGAAAUUCGUAGAUAUUAGGAAGAACACCGGUGGCGAAGGCGGCCCACUGGAUCGGUACUGACGCUGAGGUGCGAAAGCGUGGGGAGCAAACAGGAUUAGAUACCCCUGUAGUCCCUGAGCGGGCUGGCAAGGCGCAU
This 447-nucleotide ribosomal RNA is filed under the name uncultured bacterium. Its description in RNAcentral is "bacterial SSU rRNA". It matches the Rfam family "Bacterial small subunit ribosomal RNA", at positions 355 to 825 of the family's 1533-position model. The record is from RNAcentral.